This 1219-nucleotide long non-coding RNA is filed under the name Cricetulus griseus (Chinese hamster). Its description in RNAcentral is "lncRNA (ENSCGRG00000024949.1)". Lineage: Eukaryota; Metazoa; Chordata; Mammalia; Rodentia; Cricetidae. The record is from RNAcentral.
AUAGAGCACCAGACCAGCCCCAAAUCGAGCAUUCAAGGAUGUUGUAUAAUCUAUAAGGCGAGAUGCAGGAGGCCACACUUGCACUUAGCUGUGUAAUUCAUGAGAGAUGAUGGAAAGGCAAGUUUCAUCCAUCCUUACUUUCUACUGCGGGGUAACCUGGGGCUCAGCAGCUGUUCUUGGCUGGACAUUGGAAGUACCUCAAACUUUCCAUCAAAGAACAGAUUCUUCCUCAUUCCCACUCUGAGAAGAUCUCACCGGGUCGGAGAACCAGUCCUUAUAUCUGGGAAAGGAAACCCAACCUCUCAACAUCUAGCAUUUCUCACCUCUAGAACAGCAUGGGUUUACUCAAGGUUUGAAGUAGCUUUAUUGAAACCUACUUGACAUGUAAGAAUCUGUGCAUUUCCAGUGUUUGAUUCGGUGAGUAUUGGUGUGCAUGCAUCUGUGAGACUGUCACCCAACCACGGUGGAUAUACCUAUCCCCAUCCAAGGUUUCUGGAACUUGGAUUUGGUUCUUUCCUUCCACUCUUCUAUUCCCUCUCAUCCUCACUAUUUCCAGGCAAUUCCUAUCAGCUGUGUGACACUUCAGGUUCUCUGGCAUUUCCUAGUAUUAUAUGGAAAUAAAAUUAUAUAUUUUGUAUUCUUUGUUUGCUUUUCUUAUCUCAUUAAGCAUACUUACUCUGGUAUUCAUUUAUGUUUUAUCAACAUCUCUCUCUCUCUUUUUUUUUUUUUUUGCUUUGUAGUAUUCUAUUCUACCUUUAUUCCACAAGUUGCCUAUUUCUUCAACUGUUAGUGGAGGUUUGAGUUGUUUAAACUUCUUACUAAAUAAAGUUUCUGUGAACAAUGAUGGGCAAGUCUCAGGAUGAACUAAUUUAUUCCCUUUUCUUGAGUGAAUAUUUGGGAGUGCAGCGGCUCAAUACGAUGGUGGCUAUAUGUUUAAUGUCUUUUUUUUUCCUGAGUUAUCAACUUUUAUCAUUAUUCACACGUUUUACAGAAAAAGAAUGAAGCAGAGAGUUUCAGGGCUAUAUGAAAAUGAAUCCAGGGUUGUAUACCUCACUCUGUCACAAAUAACUGGGAGUAAAGAUGCCCCCACAUCAGGCAGAGUGGCUUGCGCUGGCCAGAUGUCCUUUUUGCUAGCACAGCUCUGGGCUCUCUGAGAGUGGCCUGUGAGGUGGCAGGAGCAGCGUCUCUUUUUGCAGCAAAUCCUACACAUGGACCAAUA